RNAcentral lists this small RNA (164 nucleotides) under Pan troglodytes (chimpanzee). RNAcentral's name for it is "retained intron". Lineage: Eukaryota; Metazoa; Chordata; Mammalia; Primates; Hominidae. The record is from RNAcentral.
CCUGCCAGGACAGAGUGCUCAGAGUUUUACAGGGAUCUGAUGUGAUGUAUGCAAUUGAAGUUCCUGGACCCCCUACUGUCUUAGCACUACACAAUGGAAAUGGCGGUAAUCAGGAUUUUAUUUUUCACAAAUCAACUAUGUGUUGUAAUAGUAAGUGAAAAUGG